RNAcentral lists this transfer RNA (75 nucleotides) under Acidiphilium sp. PM. Its description in RNAcentral is "tRNA-Val". Lineage: Bacteria; Pseudomonadati; Pseudomonadota; Alphaproteobacteria; Acetobacterales; Acidocellaceae. The record is from RNAcentral.
UGGUGGGCGCGACAGGGAUUGAACCUGUGACCCCUGCCAUGUCAAGGCAGUGCUCUCCCGCUGAGCUACGCGCCC